This 22-nucleotide microRNA is filed under the name Macacine alphaherpesvirus 1. RNAcentral describes it as "hbv-miR-B3RC-3p". Its record names the gene hbv-miR-B3RC-3p. Lineage: Duplodnaviria; Heunggongvirae; Peploviricota; Herviviricetes; Herpesvirales; Orthoherpesviridae. The record is from miRBase by way of RNAcentral.
CGGCUCUGCGUUUAUUGUUGGA